Molecule: non-coding RNA, 72 nt
Organism: Podarcis lilfordi (Lilford's wall lizard)
Lineage: Eukaryota; Metazoa; Chordata; Lepidosauria; Squamata; Lacertidae
Source: the annotation of a GenBank genome assembly
UGGAUAGCUCAGUUGGUUAGAGUGUGGUGCUGAUAAUGCCAAGGCUUCAAGUUUGAUCCCUGUAUGGAUCAG